UACGUAGGGUGCAAGCGUUAAUCGGAAUUACUGGGCGUAAAGCGUGCGCAGGCGGUGAUGUAAGACAGAUGUGAAAUCCCCGGGCUCAACCUGGGAACCGCAUUUGUGACUGCAUCGCUGGAGUACGGCAGAGGGGGAUGGAAUUCCGCGCGUAGCAGUGAAAUGCGUAGAUAUGCGGAGGAACACCGAUGGCGAAGGCAAUCCCCUGGGCCUGUACUGACGCUCAUGCACGAAAGCGUGGGGAGCAAACAGG
RNAcentral lists this ribosomal RNA (253 nucleotides) under uncultured bacterium. RNAcentral's name for it is "partial 16S ribosomal RNA". It matches the Rfam family "Bacterial small subunit ribosomal RNA", at positions 524 to 776 of the family's 1533-position model. The record is from RNAcentral.